NNNNNNNNNNNNNNNNNNNNNNNNNAAUGUACUUGCUUUGCCAAAAAGCCAGAAGUGGCAAGAGAUGCUUAACUUCUCUGAGCAAAUAAACUGGAAGGAUUCUUGGAAGAUGACGAAACGUCAGCGUAGAGAAGAAAGAGCCUUGAGGAACCGGAGAAGUCCACCUUCACAAUUCUCACAAACUCUCACCGAAUGGGCCGAUUCUUGGAAGUUCACCAACUUAACACUCAACCAAGACGGCGGUUUAUGGCAGCAGGGUUGGUCUGCCAAUUCUCAACCCAGGCCUAUUAGAAGAGUGCGAGAAAAUGAAGAUAUCCCGCAUAAUGGACCAGCAGGGGUUCGUGCAUGGGCCGAGUCCUGGAGGUCAACGAGACGUCAGCAUCUUCUGGAAAGACAAGCGACAAGUGCAUCUACCCAGCCGGUAUGUCAACAUACAUAUGCACGAUCCGUAGCGGACUGGGAACAGUCGUGGAAGUCAUCAACUCAUCUGCGUCAUCAUGAUAGACCCUCCAUGACGGCAUGGACUGAUUCUUGGAGGCUCUCCAGCUUGGAGGAUCUCCAACGUGAGCAUGCAUGGUUUGAGAAAUCAAUGGAAAUCAAAGGCAGAAAGGAACUUUGCAGAGCAUCGAAUGCAUUUAGCAGAUCAUUUGAUUCUCAGACAUUCAAAGAACGAUAUCCUGCGAAUGAGUGGAAUGACUCGUGGAGGGUUAAGAAGAGGUUUGAUGGUCCUGGACUUGCACAACUAAUGAAAAACGAAGUGCUAAAUUGGGAUAAUUCUUGGAUGUUGACCAGCACAGAGUUUUAUCAAAAACAAGGUGAAUGUUAUUUGAAUUCUCACCUGACGUCUGAUGUCAAGAGCCAUGCGAUUCUCAAAUCAAUGCAGAUCGAGAGCAGGUCAGAGUGGGGUCGAUCGUGGAAGAUGUCAAACCCACAACCACCAAAGAACAUCGCCUCGUGGGUUGAGGCAAAGCCAAGUUCAUUCAAUGCACAAGACCUAAUUCUUUGGUCCAAACACAA
This 1017-nucleotide long non-coding RNA is filed under the name Sinocyclocheilus grahami. Its description in RNAcentral is "lncRNA (ENSSGRG00000008449.1)". Lineage: Eukaryota; Metazoa; Chordata; Actinopteri; Cypriniformes; Cyprinidae. The record is from RNAcentral.